This 460-nucleotide ribosomal RNA is filed under the name uncultured bacterium. RNAcentral's name for it is "partial 16S ribosomal RNA". It matches the Rfam family "Bacterial small subunit ribosomal RNA", at positions 338 to 795 of the family's 1533-position model. The record is from RNAcentral.
CCUACGGGUGGCAGCAGUGAGGAAUAUUGGUCAAUGGACGAGAGUCUGAACCAGCCAAGUAGCGUGCAGGAUGACGGCCCUAUGGGUUGUAAACUUCUUUUAUAUGGGAAUAAAACGUUCCACGUGUGGGAUUUUGUAUGUACCAUAUGAAUAAGGAUCGGCUAACUCCGUGCCAGCAGCCGCGGUAAUACGGAGGGUCCGAGCGUUAUCCGGAUUUAUUGGGUUUAAAGGGAGCGUAGGUGGAUUGUUAAGUCAGUUGUGAAAGUUUGCGGCUCAACCGUAAAAUUGCAGUGGAAACUGGCAGUCUUGAGUCCAGUAGAGGUGGGCGGAAUUCGUGGUGUAGCGGUGAAAUGCUUAGAUAUCACGAAGAACUCCGAUUGCGAAGGCAGUUCACUGGACUGGAACUGACACUGAGGCUCGAAAGUGUGGGUAUCAAACAGGAUGAGAUACCCCUGUAGUC